Molecule: long non-coding RNA, 808 nt
Filed under: Crocodylus porosus (Australian saltwater crocodile)
Lineage: Eukaryota; Metazoa; Chordata; Crocodylia; Crocodylidae
Description: lncRNA (ENSCPRG00005009289.1)
Source: RNAcentral
ACAGCCUGUGAUGUUGCUCUAAAAGAUCCUCUGCUACUUCCUGGCGGAUCCCUAACUGGCAGCCUGUGUUCUUGGCCACAGAUGUGGAGUGCACAGAACAACUUAAAGGCCUGGUAACCGGGGAUGCAGCUGCACUGUCUCUGCUGGACCUAUUCUCUCACAUGACGUGAGAUGGCCGCCCAGCCUCUGUGGUGAAAGAGCCUGCAGAGACAAUGAAAGGUCUAUUAUAGUUUUUUGUCUGGGGAGGGAAAAAGCUCUCAGAAGUUUCUCUCCCAUAAGCAGCAAUUUCUAUCUCCUUGGCAUGUCUUUAUUCUCUCUCUAUUUUCCUGCCCAGAGGCAGCUGCAUCCCCAGCAGGUGUGAUGUGGUAGAGCAGAGAGGAGGCCAGUCCAGGUGUCUGCAGAAUGGAUGAGAUGUUGGUCAUGGAUGCUGGUGUGGGUCACAGAGUUGAAGGAGCAGAUGGUGGUGGAGUGGACUGAAUACAGCAGCAGCAGGAACCAUGUAGUUUUGCAGUAUAACAACUGUGCAACAGGAUGCAUUUUGAGGAAAACCAUGUCUGAGAUGGAUUAAAUUCCAAACUCUGGCUCUGCAAGCCCGAAUAACACUUGUUGCCUGGUGCCUUGCCUCCGGAGCGAGAACAGCAGGCGUUUCAUCAGGGAACAACAAAACAUCCUGAAGGAUUCUCAAAGGAAGGUCAUCCCAGGUCUUGCAACAUUUGCUCUCAUGUUUUCUCCACUGGGUCAAAAUGCUAAAGCAGAAUUCCUAGUUCUAAUAUUAUAUAAGCCAUAAUCUGUCUGUCCAUAACUCUUU